UACGAAGGGGGCUAGCGUUGCUCGGAAUCACUGGGCGUAAAGCGCACGUAGGCGGCUUCCUAAGUCGGUGGUGAAAUCCUGGAGCUCAACUCCAGAACUGCCUCCGAUACUGCGGGUCUCGAGUCCGGGAGAGGUGAGUGGAAUUCCUAGUGUAGAGGUGAAAUUCGUAGAUAUUAGGAAGAACACCAGUGGCGAAGGCGGCUCACUGGCCCGGUACUGACGCUGAGGCGCGAAAGCGUGGGGAGCAAACAGG
This 253-nucleotide ribosomal RNA is filed under the name uncultured bacterium. RNAcentral's name for it is "partial 16S ribosomal RNA". It matches the Rfam family "Bacterial small subunit ribosomal RNA", at positions 524 to 776 of the family's 1533-position model. The record is from RNAcentral.